Molecule: small RNA, 125 nt
Filed under: Marmota monax (woodchuck)
Lineage: Eukaryota; Metazoa; Chordata; Mammalia; Rodentia; Sciuridae
Source: RNAcentral
GCUGGGCAUGGUGGCACAUGCCUGUAAUCCCAGUGACUUGGAAGGCUGAGGCAGGAGGAUCUCAAGUUCGAAGCCAGCCUCAGCAAAAGCAAGGUGCUAAGCAACUCAGUGAGACCCUGUCUCUA